This 492-nucleotide ribosomal RNA is filed under the name uncultured bacterium. Its description in RNAcentral is "partial 16S ribosomal RNA". It matches the Rfam family "Bacterial small subunit ribosomal RNA", at positions 29 to 507 of the family's 1533-position model. The record is from RNAcentral.
AGUGAACGCUGGCGGUAGGCCUAACACAUGCAAGUCGAACGGCAGCACAGUAAGAGCUUGCUCUUACGGGUGGCGAGUGGCGGACGGGUGAGGAAUACAUCGGAAUCUACUUUUUCGUGGGGGAUAACGUAGGGAAACUUACGCUAAUACCGCAUACGACCUACGGGUGAAAGCUGGGGAUCUUCGGACCUUGCGCGAUUGAAUGAGCCGAUGUCGGAUUAGCUAGUUGGCGGGGUAAAGGCCCACCAAGGCGACGAUCCGUAGCUGGUCUGAGAGGAUGAUCAGCCACACUGGAACCGAGACACGGUCCAGACUCCUACGGGAGGCAGCAGUGGGGAAUAUUGGACAAUGGGCGCAAGCCUGAUCCAGCCAUACCGCGUGGGUGAAGAAGGCCUUCGGGUUGUAAAGCCCUUUUGUUGGGAAAGAAAAGCAGCAGGUUAAUACCCCGCUGUUCUGACGGUACCCAAAGAAUAAGCACCGGCUAACUUCGUG